ACGAGUACCUGUAAAAAGGCCAGGGCGGAAGCUACAUCUGUUGUGAGUCCAGACAGACUGAGCAGUCUACCUCGAGAGAUAAAGGGCGACAUCCUCUCCCGUUUGAACGUCGAAGAAGCAGUUAGGACUAGCACCUUAUCAAGUACUUUGAGGGAUGCAUGGACUGAUACGCCAAAGAUAUUUCUGCGUGAUGGAAAUUUUCCAAGAACCAAGUUCAUUACGUUGGUCGAAAUGGUGCUAUCGCUCCACAAGGGAACAAUAGAAAAGUUUGAUAUAUCAGGUAAAGGAAGUUACCAUGAUGAAUUUGCUACGUGGAUGCUCAUGCUGUCAAGGAGAUCACCAAAAUCAGUUAUAAUCAAGUUGAGCUCAUGGCCAAGGUAUAGGAUUCCCUCAUGA
RNAcentral lists this ribosomal RNA (396 nucleotides) under Triticum aestivum (bread wheat). RNAcentral describes it as "partial small subunit ribosomal RNA". Lineage: Eukaryota; Viridiplantae; Streptophyta; Magnoliopsida; Poales; Poaceae. The record is from RNAcentral.